GAUCAUGGCUCAGGAUGAACGCUAGCGGCAGGCUUAACACAUGCAAGUCGAGGGGUAUAGUAGCAAUACUAGAGACCGGCGCACGGGUGCGUAACGCGUAUGCAAUCUACCUUUUGCAGAGGGAUAGCCCAGAGAAAUUUGGAUUAAUACCUCAUAGUAUAGAACAAUCGCAUGAUUGAGCUAUUAAAGUCACAACGGCAAAAGAUGAGCAUGCGUCCCAUUAGUUAGUUGGUAAGGUAACGGCUUACCAAGACUACGAUGGGUAGGGGUCCUGAGAGGGAGAUCCCCCACACUGGUACUGAGACACGGACCAGACUCCUACGGGAGGCAGCAGUGGGGAAUUUUGGACAAUGGGCGCAAGCCUGAUCCAGCAAUGCCGCGUGCAGGAAGAAGGCCUUCGGGUUGUAAACUGCUUUUGUACGGAACGAAACGGCUCUGGUUAAUACCUGGGGCUAAUGACGGUACCGUAAGAAUAAGCACCGGCUAACUACGUG
This 494-nucleotide ribosomal RNA is filed under the name uncultured bacterium. RNAcentral's name for it is "bacterial SSU rRNA". It matches the Rfam family "Bacterial small subunit ribosomal RNA", at positions 15 to 507 of the family's 1533-position model. The record is from RNAcentral.